AUGGACGGCGUGGUGGACGCCUACAAGGUGCCGUGCCUCUACAAGGGACACGGCUGCGCCAUGGACGGCAUCCCCUACCACUCGGCCGCCGACCACAAGGCCAGCUGCAAGCACGCGCCCUGCUACUGCUUCGACUGCCGCUUCGUGGGCUCGCCGGCCAAGCUCGUGCGCCACCUCGCCUCGCCGUCCGGCGCGCACGCGUGGCCCGUGGAGAAGAUCAGGUACGAGGUGCCCCAGCCGUUCGUCGUGCCGGCGUCGUCCGAGGAGGACCAGCGCCGCCUGCUGGUCACGGAGGACGGCCGCGUGUUCCUCCUGGCCGUGGGCGCCCGCAGGGACCUGGGCGGCCGCCGCCCCGUCACCGUAGUGUGCGUCAGGGGCAACGCCGACGCGGACGCGGACGCGAAGCCCCUGUACACGGGCGUGCUCUGGGUGGACGGCCCUCCGGCGCCCCCGCGCCAGCCGCUCGGGUGCAGCUUCAGGCUGAAGGCGACGGUGGCCAGCUGCUCCGUCCCCAAGGCGCUGCCGCUCCGACUCGCCGGCGCCGUCCGGCGCGCGCUUGGCGGCCGCGAGCCCGAUGAACAGCCGCGGGUCCUGAUUGGGGACCGGGGGCCUGAUUGCCUUUUCUGUAAAUAUCUAGGGGUGUGUGUGCUAAUUUUUUGCCAGUUAAGCUCCUUACAAUCUGGCCCCACUUGUCAGAAAGUGAUUAAACGGGCCAAAUCACCUAAUCAGUGCUUUUUGCAACGGCUUAACAAAUUUUUCGGUGUUUUCUGCAACGGAUUAACGAGUUGGUGGUUUCCUGCAAACCUAGCCGCAAAUGUGGUGGUUUCUUGCAAUUGA
RNAcentral lists this ribosomal RNA (837 nucleotides) under Triticum aestivum (bread wheat). RNAcentral's name for it is "partial small subunit ribosomal RNA". The record is from RNAcentral. Lineage: Eukaryota; Viridiplantae; Streptophyta; Magnoliopsida; Poales; Poaceae.